This 552-nucleotide ribosomal RNA is filed under the name Acinetobacter sp. DBrez 4.5. RNAcentral's name for it is "bacterial SSU rRNA". It matches the Rfam family "Bacterial small subunit ribosomal RNA", at positions 340 to 883 of the family's 1533-position model. The record is from RNAcentral. Lineage: Bacteria; Pseudomonadati; Pseudomonadota; Gammaproteobacteria; Moraxellales; Moraxellaceae.
UACGGGAGGCAUCAGUGGGGAAUAUUAGACAAUGGGGGGAACCCUGAUCCAGCCAUGCCGCGUGUGUGAAGAAGGCCUUUUGGUUGUAAAGCACUUUAAGCGAGGAGGAGGCUCCUAUAGAUAAUACCUAUAGUGAGUGGACGUUACUCGCAGAAUAAGCACCGGCUAACUCUGUGCCAGCAGCCGCGGUAAUACAGAGGGUGCGAGCGUUAAUCGGAUUUACUGGGCGUAAAGCGUACGUAGGCGGCUUUUUAAGUCGGAUGUGAAAUCCCUGAGCUUAACUUAGGAAUUGCAUUCGAUACUGGGAAGCUAGAGUAUGGGAGAGGAUGGUAGAAUUCCAGGUGUAGCGGUGAAAUGCGUAGAGAUCUGGAGGAAUACCGAUGGCGAAGGCAGCCAUCUGGCCUAAUACUGACGCUGAGGUACGAAAGCAUGGGGAGCAAACAGGAUUAGAUACCCUGGUAGUCCAUGCCGUAAACGAUGUCUACUAGCCGUUGGGGCCUUUGAGGCUUUAGUGGCGCAGCUAACGCGAUAAGUAGACCGCCUGGGGAGUAC